GCAGAACCUAGUAUCCCUACGCACAGUUUCUCAUGUGGUCUUCAAAUCUCCACAUCUGCAUGCAUAAAAAUGCCACAAUAACCACAAGUAGCAUUACUGUUUUAUGCUUACAUGGUCAGACCAUGUCUUAGGAGACACAACAGGUUGUAGUAAUGCUUCAACAAGAGAGUGUUAAAGCACUCUUCUUCUGUGUUGUUCACAAAGCUUUUUGCUAUAUCGAUGAUGAAGCUUUAGGACUUCAUUCAGUCCUAAACCAAAGAAGAAGAUGGCUGGCUGGAGGAAGGGAGGUCUGUGGCUUGCAUUCUACAGGUUGAGAGAAAAAAUAAUUAUAGCAGCUGCCUCUUCGAGCCCUAAAACCCAGGGUAGAAAAUACAUAUAGUGUUGUUCUUUUGGGUUGUUUUGUUUUGUUGUUGUUGUGGUGUUGUUUUUUCCUACUCCCCAAGCUUGAUGGAAAGCAAUAGAAAAAUUUGCUCUUUCUGUUAUGUAGAAGGAGUGGAAUGAUUUUUGCUGAUCCAGUUGUUUCAGUGACAAUGCACCUGGACCAUCCCAGCACCUGAAGGAGAGGUGUGAUUGCUUCUGCCAGUAGAGUUCUCCAUGAAUUUCUGAUACAGGUGAUUUAAUGGAAGAAGGUCGGUAAUUCUGGCAUGCAGCCUUAGAGGUACUUGAAUAUGUGUUGUCUUGAAAACAGAGACGCGUAUGAAGCUGUUGUCUGUCCCUCCUCUUUAACAGCACAAAGCCUGGAUGCUGCUCUGCUCCCAAAGCCUGCUCCAGGGAGGCUGCACUGCAGUGAAGAAGAAGAUGUUUUUUGUUGGAACAUAACACCAUCUACCAGUUGUCAAGGAAAAGCAAUGACUUUGAAUGCAGUAGCUCAAUUCAAGACAACUGUCCUGACAGCUAGAGCCAGAAAAAUACAUCUUGGUGAAGGAUGGGCAGUUUUGCCGGUCUUACACAGAGUGUGAUUCUGAUCCUUUUGUUCAGCAAUAUAGGACAUCCCGUGGAAGAGCUGUGAAAAUUAUUCCUUCCUCUUCUGAAAAAAAUAAAAUUGUUACUUAAAAAUAUAGACUGACUCA
Molecule: long non-coding RNA, 1070 nt
Filed under: Numida meleagris (helmeted guineafowl)
Lineage: Eukaryota; Metazoa; Chordata; Aves; Galliformes; Numididae
Description: lncRNA (ENSNMEG00000007570.1)
Source: RNAcentral